GACGAACGCUGGCGGCGUGCUUAACACAUGCAAGUCGAACGGAAAGGCCCUGCUUUUGUGGGGUGCUCGAGUGGCGAACGGGUGAGUAACACGUGAGUAACCUGCCCUUGACUUUGGGAUAACUUCAGGAAACUGGGGCUAAUACCGGAUAGGAGCUCCUGCUGCAUGGUGGGGGUUGGAAAGUUUCGGCGGUUGGGGAUGGACUCGCGGCUUGUCAGCUUGUUGGUGGGGUAGUGGCUUACCAAGGCUUUGACGGGUAGCCGGCCUGAGAGGGUGACCGGCCACAUUGGGACUGAGAUACGGCCCAGACUCGUACGGGAGGGAGCAGUGGGGAAUAGUGCAAAAUGGGCGGAAGCCUGAUGCAGCAACGCCGCGUGCGGGGUGACGGCCUUCGGGUUGUAAACCGCUUUCGCCUGUGACGAAGCGUGAGUGACGGUAAUGGGUAAAGAAGCACCGGCUAACUACGUG
RNAcentral lists this ribosomal RNA (468 nucleotides) under uncultured bacterium. Its description in RNAcentral is "partial 16S ribosomal RNA". It matches the Rfam family "Bacterial small subunit ribosomal RNA", at positions 28 to 507 of the family's 1533-position model. The record is from RNAcentral.